Molecule: ribosomal RNA, 254 nt
Filed under: uncultured bacterium
Lineage: Bacteria
Description: partial 16S ribosomal RNA
Rfam family: Bacterial small subunit ribosomal RNA
Source: RNAcentral
UACAGAGGGUGCGAGCGUUGUCCGGAAUCACUGGGCGUAAAGGGCGCGUAGGUGGUGGCUUAAGCGUGCGGUGAAAGCUCGGGGCUCAACCCCGAGUCGGCCGUGCGAACUGGGCUCACUGGAGCAUAGUAGAGGCAGGUGGAAUUCCGGGUGUAGCGGUGGAAUGCGUAGAGAUCCGGAAGAACACCGGUGGCGAAGGCGGGUCUCUGGACAGUUCCUGACGCUGAGGCACGAAGGUCAGGGGAGCAAACGGG